Molecule: transfer RNA, 74 nt
Filed under: Polaribacter sp. SA4-10
Lineage: Bacteria; Pseudomonadati; Bacteroidota; Flavobacteriia; Flavobacteriales; Flavobacteriaceae
Description: tRNA-Gly(tcc)
Rfam family: tRNA
About the family: Transfer RNA (tRNA) molecules are approximately 80 nucleotides in length. Their secondary structure includes four short double-helical elements and three loops (D, anti-codon, and T loops). Further hydrogen bonds mediate the characteristic L-shaped molecular structure. tRNAs have two regions of fundamental functional importance: the anti-codon, which is responsible for specific mRNA codon recognition, and the 3' end, to which the tRNAs corresponding amino acid is attached (by aminoacyl-tRNA synthetases). tRNAs cope with the degeneracy of the genetic code in two manners: having more than one tRNA (with a specific anti-codon) for a particular amino acid; and 'wobble' base-pairing, i.e. permitting non-standard base-pairing at the 3rd anti-codon position.
Source: RNAcentral
GCGAAAGUAGCUCAGUUGGUAGAGCGUCAGCCUUCCAAGCUGAAUGUCGCCGGUUCGAACACGGUCUUUCGCUC